AUUGAACGCUGGCGGCAUGCCUUACACAUGCAAGUCGAACGGUAACAGGUCUUCGGAUGCUGACGAUUGGCGAACGGGUGAGUAAUACAUCGGAACGUGCCUAGUAGUGGGGGAUAACUACUCGAAAGAGUGGCUAAUACCGCAUGAGAUCUACGGAUGAAUGCAGGGGAUCGCAAGACCUUGUGCUACUAGAGCGGCCGAUGGCAGAUUAGGUAGUUGGUGGGAUAAAAGCUUACCAAGCCGACGAUCUGUAGCUGGUCGGAGAGGAAGAUCAGUCACACUGGAACUGAGAAACGGCCCAGACUCCUACGGGAGGCAGCAGUGGGGAAUUUUGGACAAUGGGCGCAAGCCUGAUCCAGCAAUGCCGCGUGCAGGAUGAAGGCCUUCGGGUUGUAAACUGCUUUUGUACGGAACGAAAAGCCCCGGGUUAAUACCCUGGGGUCAUGACGGUACCGUAAGAAUAAGCACCGGCUAACUACGUGCCAGCAGCCGCAGUAA
Molecule: ribosomal RNA, 498 nt
Filed under: uncultured bacterium
Lineage: Bacteria
Description: partial 16S ribosomal RNA
Rfam family: Bacterial small subunit ribosomal RNA
Source: RNAcentral